This 1348-nucleotide ribosomal RNA is filed under the name uncultured bacterium. RNAcentral's name for it is "bacterial SSU rRNA". It matches the Rfam family "Bacterial small subunit ribosomal RNA", at positions 28 to 1381 of the family's 1533-position model. The record is from RNAcentral.
GACGAACGCUGGCGGCGUGCUUAACACAUGCAAGUCGAACGAUGAAGCCCAGCUUGCUGGGUGGAUUAGUGGCGAACGGGUGAGUAAUACGUGAGUAACCUGCCUUUAACUCUGGGAUAAGCCUUGGAAACGGGGUCUAAUACCGGAUACGACCAACCCUCGCAUGGGGUGUUGGCGGAAAGGGAUUUUGUACUGGUUUUAGAUGGGCUCACGGCCUAUCAGCUUGUUGGUGAGGUAACGGCUCACCAAGGCGACGACGGGUAGCCGGCCUGAGAGGGUGACCGGCCACACUGGGACUGAGACACGGCCCAGACUCCUACGGGAGGCAGCAGUGGGAAUAUUGCACAAUGGGCGCAAGCCUGAUGCAGCGACGCCGCGUGAGGGAUGACGGCCUUCGGGUUGUAAACCUCUUUCAGCAGGGGAGAAGCGAAAGUGACGGUACCUGCAGAAGAAGCGCCGGCUAACUACGUGCCAGCAGCCGCGGUAAUACGUAGGGCGCGAGCGUUGUCCGGAAUUAUUGGGCGUAAAGAGCUUGUAGGCGGUUUGUCGCGUCUGCUGUGAAAGCCCGGGGCUUAACCCCGGGUUUGCAGUGGGUACGGGCAGACUAGAGUGCAGUAGGGGAGACUGGAAUUCCUGGUGUAGCGGUGAAAUGCGCAGAUAUCAGGAGGAACACCAAUGGCGAAGGCAGGUCUCUGGGCUGUAACUGACGCUGAGAAGCGAAAGCAUGGGGAGCGAACAGGAUUAGAUACCCUGGUAGUCCAUGCCGUAAACGUUGGGCACUAGGUGUGGGGAACAUUCCACGUUUUCCGCGCCGUAGCUAACGCAUUAAGUGCCCCGCCUGGGGAGUACGGCCGCAAGGCUAAAACUCAAAGAAAUUGACGGGGGCCCGCACAAGCGGCGGAGCAUGCGGAUUAAUUCGAUGCAACGCGAAGAACCUUACCAAGGCUUGACAUAUACUGGACCGCUCUAGAGAUAGAGUUUCCCUUUUAGGGCUGGUAUACAGGUGGUGCAUGGUUGUCGUCAGCUCGUGUCGUGAGAUGUUGGGUUAAGUCCCGCAACGAGCGCAACCCUCGUUCUAUGUUGCCAGCACGUAAUGGUGGGGACUCAUAGGAGACUGCCGGGGUUAACUCGGAGGAAGGUGGGGAUGACGUCAAAUCAUCAUGCCCCUUAUGUCUUGGGCUUCACGCAUGCUACAAUGGCCGGUACAAAGGGUUGCGAUACUGUGAGGUUGAGCUAAUCCCAAAAAGCCGGUCUCAGUUCGGAUUGGGGUCUGCAACUCGACCCCAUGAAGUCGGAGUCGCUAGUAAUCGCAGAUCAGCAACGCUGCGGUGAAUACGUUCCCGGGCCU